UCGUCGCUCGCCCGUAGAUCUUCCGCCCGUCGCCGCUCACCCCGCAGCUAACUCGCCGUAGACCACCUCCCACAUCCGAUCCGGACUACAGCGUUGCCGUCCUCUCCGCUCCGUCUACCUCGUCGAGGCUCGUCGCCUCCCUACCAAUUCCGACUAAGACCAGUCGCCACGAACCUCAACGAGGAGCAGCGGCGGCGGCAAGACCAGAAGUAGCACGCGUCGGGCGGCGGCGCUACACAAAUAGCACCAGCAGCGGCAUCGCAAAGUGCUGAUUUAUUCUCGAAAGAGAUGUUCCCCGCGCGUCGAGAUCCUCCCCGCCGUGAUCGGAUCAGCCUCCCGUGACGGGAUCCAACUCCCCGAAGCCAGGUAUCUGCUCCGGCAUUAGGUCCCUGAUGCCACGGCCAGAUGGGAUAUACUCUGCAGAGAGGCAAAGUCCCUCGCGCAGUUUAGCCCCUGGUAGAACAACCACCUCGAGGCCUCGUGCUGCGGAAGAAGCUGGCGGACACCAUCCUCCAGUCCGCCCACGAGCGCGAGUUACAGGUCCAGCAAUGUGCAUGCAUCUCCUUGCAGAUCAAGGUUUUACCACGUUGGAAACACCAUUACUCUUGACUCUUGCACUGAUUGAGCUAAGUGAUUGCUUUUCAUGUUUCAAUCUGAGCUCCAUCCAGCAUUUACAUCAAGAGGUGCUCUUUUAAUAACCAUCACCCCUCCAGGUUAUCAUCUGAAGCUGCCCUGGAUCAUCCAGUUUGAGCCAAUACAGUGAAACAUACAUCCAUCUGUAGGAGGAGAAGCUGGUGAGGUGUUGCUUCUGCAGAUCGCAGGUGGACCUAUGCGAUGGCGGAAGGUAGAGGGUGGCGAGGUGGCGCCUGGGUGGAAGGGUGGUGCCCUUCUCUCAAGGGAUAGCUUGGGAGGACAUCCAUGGAUAUACUCUGAAACAUGCAAUUUUUGUAUGUUCUCACUUGUUCAUAUGCUUGAAAUGUAUAAAGGUGGCCAAGUACUCUAUUUAAGCUAUGAAAGGGGUUGUAGUGGCCGAUGCCAGAAUUGCAAAUUUUUGAGUAGCAGUUUGUUUAGGUGUGUCCAAGAAUACAAAGAUAAUUAUCACCUCUAGAAAUUAAUACCAAACCGGAGCAGAUGGGGUCAAGCGUGGGGUUGUGGACGGGCUGGAGCAUCAGAUUGGCUCGGUGCAUCGCAUCAGAGGGGAAGAAGGACACCUUCCGUGCGAUUCAUAAAAUUGAGUGCUUGGAGGGUUAUUUGUGCAAAAAAAAUUUAAAGCAACUUGUGUUCCGUUAUUUUUUGUGUGGGUUAGUUUAAACCCGAGUUAUGUGAGAUUGUAAAAAAAAAGAACAUUGUGAAAGAGAAAAGGUAGGAUCGUGUAUCAUUUUACUUC
RNA transcript from Lolium rigidum, 1387 nucleotides. RefSeq lists it as uncharacterized. The record is from RefSeq and is a predicted model, not a curated record. NCBI's taxonomy places the organism in Eukaryota, Viridiplantae, Streptophyta, Magnoliopsida, Poales, Poaceae. The transcript has 8 exons.